CCCUUAGAUGUUCUGGGCCGCACGCGUGCUACACUGAGUAAAUCAAUGGGUAAGGGAACACGAAAGUGCAACCUAAUCUUGAAAUUUGCUCGUGAUGGGGAUCGACGGUUGCAAUUUUCCGUCGUGAACGAGGAAUACCUUGUAGGCGCGUGUCAUCAUCACGCGCCGAAUACGUCCCUGCCCUUUGUACACACCGCCCGUCGCUCCUACCGAUUGAGUGAUCCGGUGAGGCUCUGGGACCUGGACGGAAAGAGCGUUUCGCUUGUUCUGUUUGGGAAACUUGGUCGAACCUUAUCAUUUAGAGGAAGGUGAAGUCGUAACA
Molecule: ribosomal RNA, 322 nt
Filed under: uncultured eukaryote
Lineage: Eukaryota
Description: partial 18S ribosomal RNA
Rfam family: Eukaryotic small subunit ribosomal RNA
Source: RNAcentral